Long non-coding RNA from Ornithorhynchus anatinus (platypus), 540 nucleotides. RefSeq lists it as uncharacterized. The transcript is spliced from 4 exons. Lineage: Eukaryota; Metazoa; Chordata; Mammalia; Monotremata; Ornithorhynchidae. The record is from RefSeq and is a predicted model, not a curated record.
GAUCUGCAGAGGCGUCCCCCUCAAGAACCUCACGAGAUCUUCCCGAGGUCAGAAAGACCUGGAAUCGCCAGAGGAGCGAGAGGGGUCCGGCAGACCCAUACACACCAGGACAUACAGGAGAUGAGUUGAGAAAUAGGAGAAAAUACGUGGUUCGUUUCAUCUCGGAAUACUUCCUUAAUCCCUGAUGCAGUGGAAAGACAAACUGGAGUCCCUAGGGUUAAUCCUUUUAAAAUUCAGCCUGGGGUGAAAAGUUGUAAUUAGGCUUAGAUGAAUAACCAUAACUAGAUGGAAAUUUAAAAGAAGAUUAAAUAGUAAAUAAAAGCUUGAAUUCCUUUCAGAAACAUACUACCCGGUUGACCCGCCUGGGAGGGUGCCCGUCUGUUCACCGAAAGGUCCAAGAAAUGAUCCCGCGAUUAUUUGGAGGCAGACGCGGACUCGAGGACUGUAGCCUUUGGCCGUGGGGCGGAGGGCAGGGCCAGAUCGCGUUGCUCUCACAGCACUGAAGGCCGAGCUCCAUGAGGGACAGGGAUGGAAUCCAAC